Molecule: ribosomal RNA, 542 nt
Filed under: uncultured bacterium
Lineage: Bacteria
Description: bacterial SSU rRNA
Rfam family: Bacterial small subunit ribosomal RNA
Source: RNAcentral
AGAGAAGAACCUUACCAGGUCUUGACAUUGGUGGACAGAACAAGAAGAUAGUUCCUCUUCUUCGGAAACCAGAAAACAGGUGGUGCACGGUUGUCGUCAACUCGGGUCGUGAGAUGUUGGGAUAAAAAAACCCAACGAACGCAACCCCUAUCUUAUAUUGCCAGCACGUUGUGGUGGGAACUCAUGAGAGACUACCGCAGACAAUGCGGAGGAAGGCGGGGAUGACGUCAAAUCAUCAUGCCCCUUAUGACCUGGGCUACACACGUACUACAAUGGGAGUUAAUAGACGGAAGCGAAGCCGCGAGGCGGAGCAAACCCGAGAAACACUCUCUCAGUUCGGAUCGUAGGCUGCAACUCGCCUACGUGAAGUCGAAAUCGCUAGUAAUCGCAGGUCAGCAUACUGCGGUGAAUACGUUCCCGGGCCUUGUACACACCGCCCGUCACACCACGAAAGUCGGAAGUGCCCAAAGGAGGUGGGGUAACCUUCGGGAGCCAGCCGUCUAAGGUAAAGUUGUUUUCGGGAAGUCGUAACAAGGUAGCCG